RNAcentral lists this ribosomal RNA (427 nucleotides) under uncultured bacterium. RNAcentral describes it as "partial 16S ribosomal RNA". It matches the Rfam family "Bacterial small subunit ribosomal RNA", at positions 355 to 774 of the family's 1533-position model. The record is from RNAcentral.
UGGGGAAUAUUGCACAAUGGGCGCAAGCCUGAUGCAGCCAUGCCGCGUGUAUGAAGAAGGCCUUCGGGUUGUAAAGUACUUUCAGCGGGGAGGAAGGCGAUGCGGUUAAUAACCGCGUCGAUUGACGUUACCCGCAGAAGAAGCACCGGCUAACUCCGUGCCAGCAGCCGCGGUAAUACGGAGGGUGCAAGCGUUAAUCGGAAUUACUGGGCGUAAAGCGCACGCAGGCGGUCUGUCAAGUCGGAUGUGAAAUCCCCGGGCUUAACCUGGGAACUGCAUCCGAAACUGGCAGGCUUGAGUCUCGUAGAGGGGGGUAGAAUUCCAGGUGUAGCGGUGAAAUGCGUAGAGAUCUGGAGGAAUACCGGUGGCGAAGGCGGCCUCCUGGACGAAGACUGACGCUCAGGUGCGAAAGCGUGGGGAGCAAACA